Molecule: ribosomal RNA, 301 nt
Filed under: uncultured bacterium
Lineage: Bacteria
Description: partial 16S ribosomal RNA
Rfam family: Bacterial small subunit ribosomal RNA
Source: RNAcentral
CAGUAGCCACGGUAACACGGAGGGUGCAAGCGUUAUCCGGAUUUAUUGGGUUUAAAGGGUCCGUAGGCGGACUUAUAAGUCAGUGGUGAAAGCCUGUCGCUUAACGAUAGAACUGCCAUUGAUACUGUAAGUCUUGAGUAUAUUUGAGGUAGCUGGAAUAAGUAGUGUAGCGGUGAAAUGCAUAGAUAUUACUUAGAACACCAAUUGCGAAGGCAGGUUACCAAGAUAUAACUGACGCUGAGGGACGAAAGCGUGGGUAGCGAACAGGAUUAGAUACCCCCGUAGUCCCUGUCUCUUAUAC